UACGUAGGGGGCAAGCGUUGUCCGGAUUUAUUGGGCGUAAAGAGCGUGUAGGCGGUUUGGUAGGUCCGCUGUGAAAACUCGAGGCUCAACCUCGAGACGCCGGUGGAAACCAUCAGACUAGAGUCCGGAAGAGGAGAGUGGAAUUCCUGGUGUAGCGGUGAAAUGCGCAGAUAUCAGGAGGAACACCGAUGGCGAAGGCAGGUCUCUGGGCCAUAACUGACGCUGAGAAGCGAAAGCAUGGGGAGCGAACAGG
RNAcentral lists this ribosomal RNA (253 nucleotides) under uncultured bacterium. Its description in RNAcentral is "partial 16S ribosomal RNA". It matches the Rfam family "Bacterial small subunit ribosomal RNA", at positions 524 to 776 of the family's 1533-position model. The record is from RNAcentral.